GACGAACGCUGGCGGCGUGCUUAACACAUGCAAGUCGAGCGGUAAGGCCCUUUCGGGGGUACACGAGCGGCGAACGGGUGAGUAACACGUGGGUGACCUGCCCUUAGCUCUGGGAUAAGCCUGGGAAGCUGGGUCUAAUACCGGAUAUGACUCCAUAACGCAUGUUGUGGGGUGGAAAGCCUUGUGCGGCUAGGGAUGGGGCCCGCGGCCUAUCAGCUUGUUGGUGGGGUGAUGGCCUACCAAGGCGACGACGGGUAGCCGGCCUGAGAGGGCGACCGGCCACACUGGGACUGAGACACGGCCCAGACUCCUACGGGAGGCAGCAGUGGGGAAUCUUGCGCAAUGGGCGAAAGCCUGGCGCAGCGACGCCGCGU
RNAcentral lists this ribosomal RNA (374 nucleotides) under uncultured bacterium. RNAcentral's name for it is "bacterial SSU rRNA". It matches the Rfam family "Bacterial small subunit ribosomal RNA", at positions 28 to 402 of the family's 1533-position model. The record is from RNAcentral.